GAUGAACGCUGGCGGCGUGCCUAAUACAUGCAAGUCGAGCGAACAGACGAGGAGCUUGCUCCUCUGACGUUAGCGGCGGACGGGUGAGUAACACGUGGAUAACCUACCUAUAAGACUGGGAUAACUUCGGGAAACCGGAGCUAAUACCGGAUAAUAUAUUGAACCGCAUGGUUCAAUAGUGAAAGACGGUUUUGCUGUCACUUAUAGAUGGAUCCGCGCCGCAUUAGCUAGUUGGUAAGGUAACGGCUUACCAAGGCAACGAUGCGUAGCCGACCUGAGAGGGUGAUCGGCCACACUGGAACUGAGACACGGUCCGGACUCCUACGGGAGGCAGCAGUAGGGAAUCCUCCGCAAUGGGCGAAAGCUUGACGGAGCAACGCCGCGUGAGUGAUGAAGGUCUUCGGAUCGUAAAACUCUGUUAUUAGGGAAGAACAAAUGUGUAAGUAACUAUGCACGUCUUGACGGUACCUAAUCAGAAAGCCACGGCUAACUACGUG
RNAcentral lists this ribosomal RNA (497 nucleotides) under uncultured bacterium. RNAcentral's name for it is "partial 16S ribosomal RNA". It matches the Rfam family "Bacterial small subunit ribosomal RNA", at positions 28 to 507 of the family's 1533-position model. The record is from RNAcentral.